Long non-coding RNA from Corapipo altera (White-ruffed manakin), 3017 nucleotides. RefSeq lists it as uncharacterized. Lineage: Eukaryota; Metazoa; Chordata; Aves; Passeriformes; Pipridae. The record is from RefSeq and is a predicted model, not a curated record. The transcript is spliced from 3 exons.
ACGGGUCCCAGUGGUGUCGCCGGAUCCCAGUUUGUUUUGCUGCUACCACAGGACAGGUUUUCUCUUUUCCAGUGCUGGAAAGGGACAGUUCACGUGUCUCGUUUUAUCGUGGGAACACUACACCUGAGCCUUCCAAAUGCAUUCAUCCCAUGCUCGCUCCGGAGGGAAGAACCGUCCAGUCACCCUGAUGAGGAAUGUCGUGCCUUGUGCAGGCUGCCCCCGCAGGGCGCCUGCCAGCACUGACCCUGUCACUGCCACAGGCUGAGAACCGUUCUAACUAACGCAGAAUAGAAUUUACAAACUUUGGUUAAAGAAACAAAGGAAACUGGAAGGAAAAUGCAACUGAUUCCAUUUGGAAGACCAAAAUCUGUGGAAAAAAAAAGUUGAGGGAUUAUUGAGUUGCUACCUUCUGACUAAGCUUCAAAAUAAACUACAGUAAUUUUCCUGUGAAGACUUCAUUAUAUAUGACAGUGUAAUUCAUCAAAGAUUCUAGUGCCUGGGAUGCAAACACAGCGCCUCAGAGGAGUGCCAGUGCACAACGUCCCGAUGUGCAGCAGGUCCGUUACAGAGGCUCCUGGGCAGCAGCACAGCACCAGGCUCUCAGUUUGCUGUGUGGUGUGAAGUGCCAUUCCAACAAUUACCUAUUAUUGCUGCCCUCCAUCUAAGGAUUUUUUACAUCUCCCAUAACAAUGGUGUGUUGGAGUUAUGCACAGACCUUUUAUAUGAGUGGACAUAAUAUAUUCCCCCUGUUUUCAGAGAUAUCAAGAAGCUUCAUGAUGAUCACAGGCUCUAUGGCUGCAGCGAUGUCUUACACAACAUUAAAUUAUCUAGUGUAUUGAUUUGAAGGAAGACUUGAAUAGAUGCAGGCCUUUUCUCUCCAUAAUGAGAAAGCAAACAACCACCCGGAAUUUAAACAGUUUAGAAUGAAAAGAUAAUCCAGCAACUCCAUUGAAAGGUCUGGCUUACUAGGGCACUUCACUCAGAACUCUUUUAUUUCAAACUACAGAGUAAGCAGCUGUUCAAAAUGACAGCUAUCUCAAAGUACUUGCAGAUACUGCAAAAUACUCUGGAGUAUCUUUUCUUUAUUUUUUACUGUCUAGACACUCAUUCCCACAUUCAGUCACUGACUCACCUUGUCACUUUCAAAAUAGGGAUCUUUGUCACUUUAACCAGGCAGGUCUAAAAGAUGUGCUGAGAAGAAUAAUUUUAAGUUCUGCACCUCUAUAAUCCAGAGUUUAAAUAUUUAUGUUCACAUGCAUCAGACUGACUGCACAUACAUAGUUCAGAAGCCUGUGUCCCAAUGGCUGCAGUGGGCAUGCCUGACAUUUCUGAAUAUAUUGGCUUUUUAUGUUUUGGGGGGUAUUCACAGAAUGGGACAAACAUUCAAUAUCCUCUGACUUCUUUCAAAUUUGAUCUUUUGGCAGCAAAGAGAACGUAUCUGAAGAAACAUGAAUAUAUGGCUGGGCCAUGUAAAUGAUGUAUCCAGCCGACCAUCCAUCCACUCAUAUUGAGAGACCAAGAGGGAGGGACACUGUUUGCAGUUGUUUGAGGGCAUGUAAUACAACCUCAGUUCUAUGCUCUGCCUUAUGCAGACUUAAAAUCUAUUUUGCUCUGUUGUACUGCUUACUGAUGGCAAAAUGAAAUUAGCAUGGUUCUGGAAAAAUAACACCUAAAAUAUGUGUUAGGUUAAUAUAUCAUAUUUGAAGUGGGAGGGAGUGUCCUUUAACCAAUAAAAAACUGCAGUAAAUUGGUGUUCUAAUUGUCUAUGUAUUAUAUAAUUCCUGCUUAGAGUGCAAGCAAAAAUGGUAAAAAAGCAACAAGAUUCCCUUUUUUAUAAAUAAUCAUAAAAUUUUUAAUUGGGUUGAAUUUCAUGCACGUAACACGCUGUAUGUGCUGCAGCAUAACACAGAAAUACUGGCUCUGUAGAAUUUUUGCCUUUAGUAAUCUGGCAUUUUUCCUCAAUUUCUCCUUCUUUUUAAUUGCUGCCUGGGUAUUACAGCCUUUGAACAGCUGAACAACAUUGCAGAUUAUUUUGCUGAAUCAACGUCCUAGAAAAUAUGCUUUGUCAUCAUGAUAUGGACAUUUGCUGAUUAUUGCACUGAACUUAAAUAUUAAAAGCUGCACAAGUAUUUUCAAGUUCUCCUUUCUCUUUCCUCACAUCUGCAAGUAUAGAUUAAGGAUGGUCAUUAUUUUUGUGCUUUAAAGUCAACAUCUCUUUUUAUCCUGAUUUCAUGCAGUAUGUUGGUGUAAGAAUAAGGUGACAGUGCCUAUGUCCUUGUGUGAAUUCUAAUUAAUUUGUUUCAUUAAUUUGGUUCUCAUGGAAAUUUUGAGAUCUCUCGAUGAAAAUAAUAGUUUGUUUUCAUAUUUGAGCAGUAGUUUUACCAUAAACACAUAAUAUCUUUUUCUUCAGUGCAGUGCAGUGAUACUUUUAUGUGUAGCUUGAUUUUGUUCAAUUAGUUGUGUGUAAGUAUAAUAUAGCAUCUGUCAUCUCUUUAUUUAAAUGUAUCAUUGCUUAAUGUGGAUUUUCAGGUUUGUCUAUUGGGAGGGUUUAGGUUGGGUUUUUUUCCUUUCUUCCUAUUUACCAUGCAAUGAUCAGUUUGCAAGUUUUAUAUUAUACUAAUCAGAAUUUUCAUGACAUGGAAAUGGUGGGCCCCUCAAAGUUAUUCUUCUUUUUGUAUUAUUUUAGAUAAGUAUGAAUCUGAUAAGACUGCACCAAAUGUAAUAUAUCAUUGUUUGGAAAUUGGCUUGGACUUUUAUUGAGUUGUCCUGUGUCUGAUGUUACUGAUUCAAAUGAUAAUUUGCAAGUAAUUAUUUAGAUUGGAAGAAAGGAACUGAAAACCAACUCCGUAAUUUACUUCAUCACGUCCCUUCAGUGCUGACUGUCCAUCUGUUGAUGGAGUUAGUUUACUGUAAGCAGUGCCAAUCUGUAAUAGAUGAAACCACCUGAAUGCCAUUGGCAACUUUUGCAUUCUUGUUUACUAAAGCUGCUGUUAUUAUAAAUGAAUCUGAAAGUGACU